Molecule: transfer RNA, 69 nt
Filed under: Pristurus rupestris rupestris
Lineage: Eukaryota; Metazoa; Chordata; Lepidosauria; Squamata; Sphaerodactylidae
Description: tRNA-Ser
Source: RNAcentral
GAGGGCGGCUAGUCGAGCAAUCAAACUGCUAAUUUGUAUCCACCAUGGUUCAAAUCCGUGGCGCCCCCA